AAAUAUUAGUCAAUGCUCGAAAGAGUGAACUAGCUAACUGAAAUCAAUUAAAAAAUUGAUAACAUAAGGGAAAAUAAUGAUAUUACCUUAUUAUUAGUGUCGUCCAAAACUGGUGCCAGAAGACUCGGUAAGGCCAGAGACACAAACGUUAAUCGUCUUAAUCAGGCGUAAAGGGUUUGUAGGCGGCUUUUAAUUUACUUAUAAAUCUUAAUACAGAUAAAUAAGUUAAGAAUAAAAGCUAGAAUCAAAUAGAGGAUAUAUCAAAUAAUGCUUAGAGUAGGUCUGAUAUCCUUAGAUACUAAGUAGAACAUUAAAGGCGAAAGCUUUUUUCCAUAAUUGAUUGACGCUCAGAAACGAAGGUGAGGAUAGGAAAUAGGAUUAGAUACCCAAAAUACCCCUCUCUGUCAACGAUGAAUGGUAAUUAUUAAUAAUAAUAUUAUUAUUGAUGACAAUGUUAACACGAUAACCAUUCCGCCUUGUGAGUACAACUGCAAAGUUGAAAACAAAAAAAUUAGUCGGUUUCGGAGCAAACGAAGUGAAGCAUGUUAUUUAAUUC
This 556-nucleotide ribosomal RNA is filed under the name Russula ilicis. RNAcentral's name for it is "partial 12S small subunit ribosomal RNA". It matches the Rfam family "Bacterial small subunit ribosomal RNA", at positions 359 to 952 of the family's 1533-position model. Lineage: Eukaryota; Fungi; Basidiomycota; Agaricomycetes; Russulales; Russulaceae. The record is from RNAcentral.